ACGAACGCUGGCGGCAUGCCUAACACAUGCAAGUCGCACGAGACCUUCGGGUCUAGUGGCGCACGGGUGCGUAACGCGUGGGAACCUGCCCUUAGGUUCGGAAUAACUCCCCGAAAGGGGUGCUAAUACCGGAUAAUGUCUUCGGACCAAAGAUUUAUCACCUUUGGAUGGGCCCGCGUUGGAUUAGCUAGUUGGUAGGGUAAAAGCCUACCAAGGCGACGAUCCAUAGCUGGUCUGAGAGGAUGAUCAGCCACACUGGGACUGAGACACGGCCCAGACUCCUACGGGAGGCAGCAGUGGGGAAUAUUGGACAAUGGGCGAAAGCCUGAUCCAGCAAUGCCGCGUGAGUGAUGAAGGCCUUAGGGUUGUAAAGCUCUUUUACCCGGGAUGAUAAUGACAGUACCGGGAGAAUAAGCUCCGGCUAACUCCGUG
This 432-nucleotide ribosomal RNA is filed under the name uncultured bacterium. RNAcentral describes it as "partial 16S ribosomal RNA". It matches the Rfam family "Bacterial small subunit ribosomal RNA", at positions 29 to 507 of the family's 1533-position model. The record is from RNAcentral.